GGGCGUGCCAGUCCAUAGCAUCAAUGCCUUCGUCUUGCAGGAACUGCUGACACACUCCAGCCACAUGAGGUCUAGCAUUGUCUUGCAUUAGGAGGAACCCAGGGCCAACCGCACCAGCACAAGGUCUCACAAGGGGUCUGAGGAUCUCAUCUCGGUACCUAAUGGCAGUCAGGCUACCUCUGGCGAGCACAUGGAGGGCUGUGCGGCCCCUUAAAGAAAUGCUACCCCACACCAUUACUGACCCACUGCCAAACCGGUCAUGCUGGAGGAUGUUGCAGGCAGCAG
RNAcentral lists this long non-coding RNA (285 nucleotides) under Pelobates cultripes (western spadefoot toad). Lineage: Eukaryota; Metazoa; Chordata; Amphibia; Anura; Pelobatidae. The record is from RNAcentral.